GAGGAAUAUUGGACAAUGGACGAAAGUCUGAUCCAGCUAUGCCGCGUGCAGGAUGACAGCCCUACGGGUUGUAAACUGCUUUUAUACAGGAAGAAAAACCCCGACGUGUCGGGGCUUGACGGUACUGUAAGAAUAAGGAUCGGCUAACUCCGUGCCAGCAGCCGCGGUAAUACGGAGGAUCCAAGCGUUAUCCGGAAUUAUUGGGUUUAAAGGGUCCGCAGGCUGUUUUUUAAGUCAGAGGUGAAAUCCUGCAGCUCAACUGUAGAAUUGCCUUUGAAACUGAAAGACUUGAGUUAUUGUGAAGUGGUUAGAAUGUGUGGUGUAGCGGUGAAAUGCAUAGAUAUCACACAGAAUACCAAUUGCGAAGGCAGAUCACUAACAAUUAACUGACGCUCAGGGACGAAAGCGUGGGUAGCGAACAGG
RNAcentral lists this ribosomal RNA (423 nucleotides) under uncultured bacterium. Its description in RNAcentral is "bacterial SSU rRNA". It matches the Rfam family "Bacterial small subunit ribosomal RNA", at positions 356 to 776 of the family's 1533-position model. The record is from RNAcentral.